UUAUUUAUAUAGUUUAAAUAAAACAUUACAUUUUCACUGUAAAAAUAAAAAACUUCUUUUUUAUAAA
This 67-nucleotide transfer RNA is filed under the name Apocheima cinerarius. RNAcentral describes it as "tRNA-Glu". Lineage: Eukaryota; Metazoa; Arthropoda; Insecta; Lepidoptera; Geometridae. The record is from RNAcentral.